Molecule: ribosomal RNA, 1492 nt
Filed under: metagenome
Description: bacterial SSU rRNA
Rfam family: Bacterial small subunit ribosomal RNA
Source: RNAcentral
AGAGUUUGAUCCUGGCUCAGAUUGAACGCUGGCGGCAUGCUUUACACAUGCAAGUCGAACGGUAACGCGGGGGCAACCCUGGCGACGAGUGGCGAACGGGUGAGUAAUACAUCGGAACAUAUCCAGUAGCGGGGGAUAACCUAUCGAAAGAUGGACUAAUACCGCAUACGAUCUACGGAUGAAAGCAGGGGACCGCAAGGCCUUGCACUAUUGGAGUGGCCGAUGUCGGAUUAGCUAGUUGGUGAGGUAAAGGCUUACCAAGGCGACGAUCCGUAGCUGGUCUGAGAGGACGAUCAGCCACACUGGAACUGAGACACGGUCCAGACUCCUACGGGAGGCAGCAGUGGGGAAUUUUGGACAAUGGGCGCAAGCCUGAUCCAGCCAUGCCGCGUGAGUGAAGAAGGCCUUCGGGUUGUAAAGCUCUUUCGGUGAAGACGAAACGGUUCGUGCUAAUAACGCGGACUAAUGACGGUACUCACAGAAGAAGCACCGGCUAACUACGUGCCAGCAGCCGCGGUAAUACGUAGGGUGCAGGCGUUAAUCGGAAUUACUGGGCGUAAAGCGUGCGCAGGCGGUUUGCUAAGACAGGUGUGAAAUCCCCGGGCUUAACCUGGGAAUUGCGCUUGUAACUGGCAAGCUAGAGUGUGGCAGAGGGGGUAGAAUUCCACGUGUAGCAGUGAAAUGCGUAGAUAUGUGGAGGAAUACCGAUGGCGAAGGCAGCCCCCUGGGUUAACACUGACGCUCAUGCACGAAAGCGUGGGGAGCAAACAGGAUUAGAUACCCUGGUAGUCCACGCCCUAAACUAUGUCAACUAGUUGUCGGGGAAGAAAUUCCUUGGUAACGAAGCUAACGCGUGAAGUUGACCGCCUGGGGAGUACGGCCGCAAGGUUAAAGCUCAAAGGAAUUGACGGGGACCCGCACAAGCGGUGGAUUAUGUGGAUUAAUUCGAUGCAACGCGAAAAACCUUACCUACCCUUGACAUGCUAGGAAGCCCGCAGAGAUGUGGGUGUGCCCGAAAGGGAACCUAGACACAGGUGCUGCAUGGCUGUCGUCAGCUCGUGUCGUGAGAUGUUGGGUUAAGUCCCGCAACGAGCGCAACCCUUGCCAUUAGUUGCUACAUUCAGUUGGGCACUCUAAUGGGACCGCCGGUGACAAACCGGAGGAAGGUGGGGAUGACGUCAAGUCCUCAUGGCCCUUAUGGGUAGGGCUUCACACGUAAUACAAUGGUCGGUACAGAGGGCUGCCAACCCGCAAGGGGGAGCUAAUCCCAGAAAGCCGAUCGUAGUCCGGAUUGUAGUCUGCAACUCGACUGCAUGAAGCCGGAAUCGCUAGUAAUCGCGGAUCAGCAUGUCGCGGUGAAUACGUUCCCGGGUCUUGUACACACCGCCCGUCACACCAUGGGAGUGGGUUCCACCAGAAGUAGUUAGCCUAACCGCAAGGAGGGCGAUUACCACGGUGAGAUUCAUGACUGGGGUGAAGUCGUAACAAGGUA